UACGGAGGGUGCAAGCGUUAUCCGGAUUCACUGGGUUUAAAGGGAGCGUAGGUGGGAUGGUAAGUCAGUGGUGAAAUCUUCGAGCUUAACUCGGAAACUGCCGUUGAUACUAUCUAUCUUGAAUACCGUGGAGGUGAGCGGAAUAUGUCAUGUAGCGGUGAAAUGCUUAGAUAUGACAUAGAACACCAAUUGCGAAGGCAGCUGGCUACACAUAUAUUGACACUGAGGCACGAAAGCGUGGGGAUCAAACAGG
RNAcentral lists this ribosomal RNA (253 nucleotides) under uncultured bacterium. RNAcentral describes it as "partial 16S ribosomal RNA". It matches the Rfam family "Bacterial small subunit ribosomal RNA", at positions 524 to 776 of the family's 1533-position model. The record is from RNAcentral.